AGGUGUUGGUCGGGUGUUUUUGGGUGUUUUUGGGUGCUUGAGUAGAUCGAUGACGUUUUUGACAAAUCAUGUGAUAGACGUCAAUUUUUUUUCAAAUUACUGGCAACACUUUCUAGAUUCUCGUUAUUUGUUAUUUGUGUUAUUUGUUUUGAUUCGGAAUGUGGAGUAAAAGUUUUGGCAGGAGUUUCGGGUAAAGCUAGUUUCUACCUUAGACGUUUCUACGAUAAUUUCGGCCGACCGACCUAGUUUUUGCGCUGAAUUCGCAAUUGGGAGUUCCUGUGCAUCGAAUAUCGGAAUAGUGACAACAGGUGCCCUUCGAAAGGGCUAAAGAUUUCGCUUCUAUCUACGCCUUCUACUCGUCGGGCGGAUGAUGACCUGCGCUGUUGAUUAAUGAUAAAGAACGCCAUAUCCUUCGUCACGCAAUUAUUGUUUUUUGCUCACGGUACCGGAGUUUCAAGAGGAGAACAACCUUCAGCCACAUCCGAACCCUCCGGCCACCGAAACCGUCGAAGCUGCAUCCGACGUUUGACGCUAGUUUAAAUUGGAGCCUGAACGGUUUCCCGGUGACCUAAGCACGCGGCGAUGAAGAGCGAAGAGUUUUUUUUUUGAGGCAAAAACUACUGGCAGGAACGGGUAGAGGAAUUUGCUACGGUACGAGCAGUUUUGUGAGCAUGAGAAAUGCGUAUCAGGCUUGGUAUUGUCGUCGCGGUUGAAACCCGAAGUUUCCCCACACCCGACAAUCGAAUUAUCUCAAAACCCAUACGUGAAACCUAACGUCGGACGUAGUGCGCUGGACAGCGGACCUGGCCCUCUAUCCAGCGCACUGUGCCCGACGUACGUCCGACACACGGUUUAGGAGAAAAAUCGAUUUUCGCGUGUCAAAAAUUCCGAUUUUCAACUGCACGAACAAUAGUAUGACGAUUUAAAGAUAAGGCUUUGCAAAUGUAGCCUGAAGAAUCAUGCAGCGGUUAAUUCCGGUGGACAAAAUAAAUAAAAUAAGCAGCAAUUGUAAUGCUACAAUGUAUUAUCAUUGCUGCUUAUCUCAUUCUCUA
Long non-coding RNA from Aedes albopictus (Asian tiger mosquito), 1052 nucleotides. RefSeq lists it as uncharacterized. NCBI's taxonomy places the organism in Eukaryota, Metazoa, Arthropoda, Insecta, Diptera, Culicidae. The record is from RefSeq and is a predicted model, not a curated record. The transcript has 2 exons.